UGAAGAGGAACAAAGGCUAAGUUCGCAACAUCGUGUUGCAACGCCUUUGUGACCUGCAUCGUGCAGG
Molecule: small RNA, 67 nt
Filed under: Lentibacillus persicus
Lineage: Bacteria; Bacillati; Bacillota; Bacilli; Caryophanales; Bacillaceae
Description: Bacillaceae-1 RNA
Rfam family: Bacillaceae-1 RNA
Source: RNAcentral